This 442-nucleotide ribosomal RNA is filed under the name uncultured bacterium. RNAcentral's name for it is "partial 16S ribosomal RNA". It matches the Rfam family "Bacterial small subunit ribosomal RNA", at positions 338 to 795 of the family's 1533-position model. The record is from RNAcentral.
CCUACGGGGGGCUGCAGUGGGGAAUAUUGGGCAAUGGGCGCAAGCCUGACCCAGCAACGCCGCGUGAAGGAAGACGGCUUUCGGGUUGUAAACUUCUUUUGACAGGGAAGUGUAGAAGACGGUACCUGUCGAAUAAGCCACGUCUAACUACGUGCCAGCAGCCGCGGUAAUACGUAGGUGGCAAGCGUUGUCCGGAAUUACUGGGUGUAAAGGGAGCGCAGGCGGGAAGCCAAGUCAGCUGUGAAAACUACGGGCUUAACUUGUAGACUGCAGUUGAAACUGGUUUUCUUGAGUGAAGUAGAGGUUGGCGGAAUUCCGGGUGUAGCGGUGAAAUGCGUAGAUAUUAGGAGGAACACCGGUGGCGAAGGCGACCAACUGGGCUUUAACUGACGCUGAGGCUCGAAAGUGUGGGGAGCAAACAGGAUUAGAUACCCGAGUAGUC